GACGAACGCUGGCGGCGUGCUUAACACAUGCAAGUCGAACGGAAAGGCCCUGCUUUUGUGGGGUGCUCGAGUGGCGAACGGGUGCGUAACACGUGAGUAACCUGCCCUUGACUUUGGGAUAACUUCAGGAAACUGGGGCUAAUACCGGAUAGGAGCUCCUGCUGCCUUGUGGUGGUUGGAAAAUUUCGGGGGGUGGGGAUGGACUCGCGGCUUAUCUGCUUGUUUGUCGGGUAGUGGCUUACCAAGGGUUUGACGGGUAGCCGGCCUGAGAGGGUGACCGGCGACACUGGGACUGAGAUACGGCCCAGAAUCAUACGGGAGGCAGCAGUGGGGAAUAUUGCACAAUGGGCGGAAGCCUGAUGCAGUAACGCCGCGUGCGGGAUGACGGCCUUCGGGUUGUAAACCGCUUUCGCCUGUGACGAAGCGUGAGUGACGGUAAUGGGUAAAGAAGCACCGGCUAACUACGUG
Molecule: ribosomal RNA, 468 nt
Filed under: uncultured bacterium
Lineage: Bacteria
Description: partial 16S ribosomal RNA
Rfam family: Bacterial small subunit ribosomal RNA
Source: RNAcentral